This 377-nucleotide ribosomal RNA is filed under the name uncultured bacterium. RNAcentral's name for it is "bacterial SSU rRNA". It matches the Rfam family "Bacterial small subunit ribosomal RNA", at positions 521 to 896 of the family's 1533-position model. The record is from RNAcentral.
UAAUACGGAGGGUGCAAGCGUUGUUCGGAAUUACUGGGCGUAAAGCGCGUGUAGGCGGUCGCGUAAGUCUGAUGUGAAAGCCCGGGGCUCAACCCCGGAAGAGCAUUGGAAACUGCGCGACUAGAGUGCCGGAGAGGAGGGUGGAAUUCCUGGUGUAGCGGUGAAAUGCGUAGAUAUCAGGAGGAACACCGGUGGCGAAGGCGGCCCUCUGGACGGAUACUGACGCUGAGACGCGAAAGCGUGGGGAGCAAACAGGAUUAGAUACCCUGGUAGUCCACGCUGUAAACGAUGGGCACUAGGUGUUCGGGGUAUUGACCCCCCGAGUGCCGCAGCUAACGCAUUAAGUGCCCCGCCUGGGGACUACGGCCGCAAGGUUA